GACGAACGCUGGCGGCGUGCCUAAUACAUGCAAGUAGAACGCACAGUUUAUACCGUAGCUUGCUACACCAUAGACUGUGAGUUGCGAACGGGUGAGUAACGCGUAGGUAACCUGACUGGUAGCGGGGGAUAACUAUUGGAAACGAUAGCUAAUACCGCAUAAUAUUAAUUAUUGCAUGAUAAUUAAUUGAAAGGUGCAAUUGCACCACUACCAGAUGGACCUGCGUUGUAUUAGCUAGUAGGUGAGGUAACGGCUCACCUAGGCGACGAUACAUAGCCGACCUGAGAGGGGGAUCGGCCACACUGGGACUGAGACACGGCCCAGACUCCUACGGGAGGCAGCAGUAGGGAAUCUGCGGCAAUGGACGAAAGUCUGACCGAGCAACGCCGCGUGAGGGAAGAAGGUUUUCGGAUCGUAAAGCUCUGUUGUAAGAGAAGAACGGGUGUGAGAGUGGAAAGUUCACACUGUGACGGUAGCUUACCAGAAAGGGACGGCUAACUACGUG
Molecule: ribosomal RNA, 505 nt
Filed under: uncultured bacterium
Lineage: Bacteria
Description: partial 16S ribosomal RNA
Rfam family: Bacterial small subunit ribosomal RNA
Source: RNAcentral